RNA transcript from Brassica oleracea var. oleracea, 1419 nucleotides. RefSeq lists it as uncharacterized. NCBI's taxonomy places the organism in Eukaryota, Viridiplantae, Streptophyta, Magnoliopsida, Brassicales, Brassicaceae. The transcript is spliced from 8 exons. The record is from RefSeq and is a predicted model, not a curated record.
UUCGACCUCCACAUCUCCCCAUCUUAAAUCAAUUCAUCGUUAAUGGUCCCGAUUCGUAAACACACCUCCGUAAUUCCUCCUUAUAUAUACUUCAUCUUAAACGGAAGGAACCCUUCAUCUCAAAAACUCUCAUCGAUCAGAUUUAUGAUUAUAUAGAAUUCAAGGAAUGUGAAGAAAGAUGGAGAGCUUUAGGAGAUCGAUAUGUUUCUGGUAGAUGAGCAGUUUAGGCUGAUUAAGGGCGGUAUUAGCGUCCACCUCUUGAAUCUAUGAGAUCAGUGGAUUCGAUGUAAAAAGAGAAAUCUAUUUUUUCAAGCUCACAAUGGCAGCCGUCUCUAUUAGAUUCACUCAAGAAACGUCCAUGGUCGAAAUACCCGAAACCAUUAAUCUUAUACCAAAGGAGGUCUUCAUGAACACCUACUUACCACAUGUUGUCGGGGAGGUUAUGGGGUUAAAACCAAACCCAGACUAUUCAGCGUAUUGUGGCGAACCUACGGCUAGAACGGGGUGUAUGUUUCAGUGUUUCGAUGGGCUCGGCGCUUUGCUUCAUGAGAAAUUGGUGGCCUCAGGUUGUAUUCACUUACCAACAUGGAUCCUACCUAAGCUGGUUGUAGACUGUGGAGUUUCUGUGCACUGGAUAAGUUGUUAGUAAUGAAACUACCAAUGGGUGGUGCUACACCUCCUGCUCAAAAUGCUAUCGAAAGCUUCAGCGUGGAUUUUCCUCAUUCACACGUGCAUACUGCCAUUACGACAACGCAGUUGGAGUUCUCAGGUUAUCCUCCCAUUGCUCAAGUUUAGGUACUUUGUCCAAUUCUGUGGGUCAGAUAGGACAAAUUCCGCUGGGUUUUGUGGCAUUUGACGGAGAUAUGACUAAGCAAACCAACUCAUGUGCAGAAGAAAUUACUCGACUAACAGAUACCCCGACUAAAGACCCUUGCCACAAUGCUUAAAGGAUUUGGUUGGCACCACUAUAACUUUGCAUUUAAAGCUGUCCCCAUUCAACUUUUCCUAAAAGCAGCAGUCCUUCACCAUAGCAAGGAUCAUUGAUCGCAAUCAACGUCCACCACUCUGCUGGAAACGGAGAAGAUGAUAACACUGGAGAUGACAUGCCUGGAGUUGGAGCAGUUAAAAGUACGCCCUCCAUUGAUGUCACCAAGGAAGUCCCUGUUGACAGUGCCAGACCUUCACGAGGAUGUACGCACCGUCAAGAAGCCCCGCAAUGGUUAAGCUUCGCAUAUAGGGAAUGUCCAAGCUCAAUGCCCAUUACUGCUUUUCCUUUCGUUUUGAAUUUUCUUCUUAGCUUCAUUAAACUGCUAAGGAACUCCGUUCCUCUAGGAAUCCUAUUCUAUGUUCUUAGAAAAUUUUCAUUAUGCUUUGCUUGGUCACUUAUAGCCUUAUUGAGCCUUAUCUAAAUUUAUAAAA